This 925-nucleotide ribosomal RNA is filed under the name Hydra vulgaris (swiftwater hydra). Its description in RNAcentral is "partial 16S ribosomal RNA". The stretch from base 1 to 830 matches the Rfam family "Bacterial large subunit ribosomal RNA", at positions 1556 to 2925 of the family's 2925-position model. Lineage: Eukaryota; Metazoa; Cnidaria; Hydrozoa; Anthoathecata; Hydridae. The record is from RNAcentral.
UUAAGGUAAUACAAUUUCUCAAUUUAUAAGGAAUAUAUUAAAAAUCUUUUCAAGAAAAUUUUAAUUAAUAUUUUGUAAAAAUCUAAAUCAAGUUAGGAUAAAUAAUAAAUUAAUUUUUUUUUAAGGAACUCGGCAAAAUAAAAUAUCGACUGUUUACCAAAAACAUAGCCCUCUAAAAUAUUGAAGGUGAAACCUGCCCAAUGAUAUAAAAAUAAUUAUAACCUAAUUUAAAUAAUAUUAAAUGGAUGCAGUAACUCUGACUGUAAUAAAGUAGCAUAAUUAGUUGUCAUUUAAUUGAUGGAGAGAAUGAAUGGUUACACGAAUUUUUCACUGUCUUAAAAAAAAUUUUUUAAAAUUGAAAUAAUAGUUAAGAUGCUAUUUAAAAUUGUAAGACGAAGAGACCCUAUAGAGCUUUACUAUAAACUUUUUUCUUAAAAAUAAUAAAAAAUUAUUAAAACUAGAAAGUUUGGUAGUUUAGUUGGGGCGACUGUUUUUUAAAAAUAACAAAAAUAAGCAAUAUAAUAAAUUUAUUUAUUGUAUAAUUAAACAAUUUAACAAUUACUAUAGUAGGCUAUAAUGACCCGUUAUUAUAAUAAAUAAUAAAUAACGAUUAAUUGAUAAAAGCUACCUUAGGGAUAACAGGAUAAUUUUGUUUUAGAGUCCUUAUCAAAAACAAAGUUUGUCACCUCUAUGUUGAAUUAAGAUAUCCUAAUAAUGCAGUAGUUAUUGAGGGUAGGUCUGUUCGACCUUUAAAAUCUUACAUGAUUUGAGUUCAUUCCGUCGCAAGACAGGAAGGUUUCUAUCUACAAUUAUAAAAUUACUUUAGACUUUUAGUACGAAAGGAAUAAAGUUUCACUUAGUUAAUUAAAAAAACUAAUAAAAAAAUUUUGAAAGAAUCUAAAAAUUUAAAGUAAUUAUUUAAUAA